UACGGGGGGGGCAAGCGUUGUUCGGAAUUACUGGGCGUAAAGGGCUCGUAGGUGGCCAACUAAGUCAGACGUGAAAUCCCUCGGCUUAACCGGGGAACUGCGUCUGAUACUGGAUGGCUUGAGUUCGGGAGAGGGAUGCGGAAUUCCAGGUGUAGCGGUGAAAUGCGUAGAUAUCAAGAGGAACACCAGUGGCGAAGGCGAGUCCCUGGACAAUACCUGACACUGAGGCACGAAAGCCAAGGGAGCAAACAGG
RNAcentral lists this ribosomal RNA (253 nucleotides) under uncultured bacterium. RNAcentral's name for it is "partial 16S ribosomal RNA". It matches the Rfam family "Bacterial small subunit ribosomal RNA", at positions 524 to 776 of the family's 1533-position model. The record is from RNAcentral.